UUGUUCAAAUUCCCAAUAGUUUUCUCUGAAUCCAUUAGGUCACUAAGCAUCCAAAUCUCAAAUGACAUCUCCAUGUCAAUUUUGACAGAGUAGCCAUGGAUACCUUCGUACCUGUUGUUUGUAAAAAUCAUUGGUCAAGAUUCAAGCCAAGGACUUUUAUUUCUUGGAAGAAAAUGACAAGGCAAUGGCAAGUGUUGACCAUUUAACACAGGGAAAGCAUAGAGGCAUAUCAGGAACUCCACUGAAAAAGGAAGGGCUUAUCUUGCCAGUCUUCCCAUAUCCUACACAGAAGUUCCUGGAGACUGCUCCUGUGUAGACAGGAUGAUUAACUCAGCAAUUACUGCAGGCUUGAUGAUAUGUGAAAAGUGAAAAAAGGAGUGCCUCUGAUUCCCAUGUUCAACAAGCUUAUCAUCUCCCUGGUGAGAUCAAAAGACCAGAUAAGGAACAAGAAGAUACUGAGGAUUUAAAUGAUGAGGCACCAACUAUUUCAGCAAAGAUCGAGCAAACCUUAUUGAAGAAGUGAGAUUUAAAUCAGGCCUUGAAAGAAGACUGUACUUUGAAAAUGCAAAAGAAAACUCACUACAGGGUAUAGAGAAUAAAAUGUAAUAUUUUGUGUUAUUUAAAAAAAUAUGAAGUAUAUAUCUGUGUUUUAAUUUCCUUGUGCUUGAAGAAAGAAAUGCAAGAAUCUAAAAAAGCAGCUAAUCAUGAG
This 709-nucleotide long non-coding RNA is filed under the name Capra hircus (goat). RNAcentral describes it as "lncRNA (ENSCHIG00000001242.1)". The record is from RNAcentral. Lineage: Eukaryota; Metazoa; Chordata; Mammalia; Artiodactyla; Bovidae.